This 1343-nucleotide ribosomal RNA is filed under the name uncultured bacterium. Its description in RNAcentral is "16S ribosomal RNA". It matches the Rfam family "Bacterial small subunit ribosomal RNA", at positions 28 to 1378 of the family's 1533-position model. The record is from RNAcentral.
GACGAACGCUGGCGGCGUGCUUAACACAUGCAAGUCGAACGGAAAGGCCCUGCUUUUGUGGGGUGCUCGAGUGGCGAACGGGUGAGUAACACGUGAGUAACCUGCCCUUGACUUUGGGAUAACUUCAGGAAACUGGGGCUAAUACCGGAUAGGAGCUCCUGCUGCAUGGUGGGGGUUGGAAAGUUUCGGCGGUUGGGGAUGGACUCGCGGCUUAUCAGCUUGUUGGUGGGGUAGUGGCUUACCAAGGCUUUGACGGGUAGCCGGCCUGAGAGGGUGACCGGCCACAUUGGGACUGAGAUACGGCCCAGACUCCUACGGGAGGCAGCAGUGGGGAAUAUUGCACAAUGGGCGGAAGCCUGAUGCAGCAACGCCGCGUGCGGGAUGACGGCCUUCGGGUUGUAAACCGCUUUCGCCUGUGACGAAGCGUGAGUGACGGUAAUGGGUAAAGAAGCACCGGCUAACUACGUGCCAGCAGCCGCGGUGAUACGUAGGGUGCGAGCGUUGUCCGGAUUUAUUGGGCGUAAAGGGCUCGUAGGUGGUUGAUCGCGUCGGAAGUGUAAUCUUGGGGCUUAACCCUGAGCGUGCUUUCGAUACGGGUUGACUUGAGGAAGGUAGGGGAGAAUGGAAUUCCUGGUGGAGCGGUGGAAUGCGCAGAUAUCAGGAGGAACACCAGUGGCGAAGGCGGUUCUCUGGGCCUUUCCUGACGCUGAGGAGCGAAAGCGUGGGGAGCGAACAGGCUUAGAUACCCUGGUAGUCCACGCUGUAAACGGUGGGUACUAGGUGUGGGGUCCAUUCCACGGGUUCCGUGCCGUAGCUAACGCAUUAAGUACCCCGCCUGGGGAGUACGGCCGCAAGGCUAAAACUCAAAGGAAUUGACGGGGCCCCGCACAAGCGGCGGAGCAUGCGGAUUAAUUCGAUGCAACGCGUAGAACCUUACCUGGGUUUGACAUGGAUCGGGAGCGCUCAGAGAUGGGUGUGCCUCUUUUGGGGUCGGUUCACAGGUGGUGCAUGGCUGUCGUCAGCUCGUGUCGUGAGAUGUUGGGUUAAGUCCCGCAACGAGCGCAACCCUUGUUCACUGUUGCCAGCACGUUAUGGUGGGGACUCAGUGGAGACCGCCGGGGUCAACUCGGAGGAAGGUGGGGAUGACGUCAAGUCAUCAUGCCCCUUAUGUCCAGGGCUUCACGCAUGCUACAAUGGCUGGUACAGAGAGUGGCGAGCCUGUGAGGGUGAGCGAAUCUCGGAAAGCCGGUCUCAGUUCGGAUUGGGGUCUGCAACUCGACCUCAUGAAGUCGGAGUCGCUAGUAAUCGCAGAUCAGCAACGCUGCGGUGAAUACGUUCCCGGG